Molecule: ribosomal RNA, 309 nt
Filed under: Triticum aestivum (bread wheat)
Lineage: Eukaryota; Viridiplantae; Streptophyta; Magnoliopsida; Poales; Poaceae
Description: partial small subunit ribosomal RNA
Source: RNAcentral
AUGUGUUCGUGGCUCCAAGGACCAACUUGCUUCUUCCGCUUUGAUCUGAAGAUGACGAUCCGGAGGAGGCCCACGACGGUGUCCCGUUUCUUCUCUGGUGCCCAGCUCCAGAACAAUGGAAUCACACUUAUGCAGGAACAACGAAGCUUCGAGAUUGAAAAUACGGUCAGUUCGCUCCAUCCAUAUGCUCCACCAAAUAAUCAUGACCAUGGACAAGAAAGUGUGCACUCGGCAAUCAGGAAUAUAGUCCAGAGCAUGCAGCCACCAGUCAAUCAAGCUAAGAUUAUUCAACUGCGUAAAAAAUGGUAG